Molecule: ribosomal RNA, 531 nt
Filed under: uncultured Stachybotrys
Lineage: Eukaryota; Fungi; Ascomycota
Description: SSU rRNA
Rfam family: Eukaryotic small subunit ribosomal RNA
Source: RNAcentral
AAAACCAACGCCCUCUGGGCUCCUUGGUGAAUCAUGAUAACUUCACGAAUCGCACGGCCUUGCGCCGGCGAUGGCUCAUUCAAAUUUCUUCCCUAUCAACUUUCGAUGUUUGGGUAGUGGCCAAACAUGGUUGCAACGGGUAACGGAGGGUUAGGGCUCGACCCCGGAGAAGGAGCCUGAGAAACGGCUACUACAUCCAAGGAAGGCAGCAGGCGCGCAAAUUACCCAAUCCCGACUCGGGGAGGUAGUGACAAUAAAUACUGAUACAGGGCUCUUUCGGGUCUUGUAAUCGGAAUGAGUACAAUUUAAAUCCCUUAACGAGGAACAAUUGGAGGGCAAGUCUGGUGCCAGCAGCCGCGGUAAUUCCAGCUCCAAUAGCGUAUAUUAAGUUGUUGUGGUUAAAAAGCUCGUAGUUGAACCUUGGGCCUGGCUGGCCGGUCCGCCUCACCGCGUGUACUGGUCCGGCCGGGCCUUUCCCUCUGUGGAACCUCAUGCCCUUCACUGGGUGUGGCGGGGAACCAGGACUUUUAC